Molecule: ribosomal RNA, 2725 nt
Filed under: Salmonella enterica subsp. arizonae
Lineage: Bacteria; Pseudomonadati; Pseudomonadota; Gammaproteobacteria; Enterobacterales; Enterobacteriaceae
Description: partial 23S ribosomal RNA
Rfam family: Bacterial large subunit ribosomal RNA
Source: RNAcentral
AAGGGCGUGCUAAUCUGCGAUAAGCGCCGGUAAGGUGAUAUGAACCGUUAUAACCGGCGAUACCCGAAUGGGGAAACCCAGUGUGACUCGUCACACUAUCAUUAACUGAAUCCAUAGGUUAAUGAGGCGAACCGGGGGAACUGAAACAUCUAAGUACCCCGAGGAAAAGAAAUCAACCGAGAUUCCCCCAGUAGCGGCGAGCGAACGGGGAGGAGCCCAGAGCCUGAAUCAGCAUGUGUGUUAGUGGAAGCGUCUGGAAAGGCGCGCGAUACAGGGUGACAGCCCCGUACACAAAAGCGCAUGUGCUGUGAGCUCGAUGAGUAGGGCGGGACACGUGGUAUCCUGUCUGAAUAUGGGGGGACCAUCCUCCAAGGCUAAAUACUCCUGACUGACCGAUAGUGAACCAGUACCGUGAGGGAAAGGCGAAAAGAACCCCGGCGAGGGGAGUGAAAAAGAACCUGAAACCGUGUACGUACAAGCAGUGGGAGCACCCUUUGGGUGUGACUGCGUACCUUUUGUAUAAUGGGUCAGCGACUUAUAUUCUGUAGCAAGGUUAACCGAAUAGGGGAGCCGGAGGGAAACCGAGUCUUAAUUGGGCGUUAAGUUGCAGGGUAUAGACCCGAAACCCGGUGAUCUAGCCAUGGGCAGGUUGAAGGUUGGGUAACACUAACUGGAGGACCGAACCGACUAAUGUUGAAAAAUUAGCGGAUGACCUGUGGCUGGGGGUGAAAGGCCAAUCAAACCGGGAGAUAGCUGGUUCUCCCCGAAAGCUAUUUAGGUAGCGCCUCGUGAAUUCAUCUCCGGGGGUAGAGCACUGUUUCGGCUAGGGGGCCAUCCCGGCUUACCAACCCGAUGCAAACUGCGAAUACCGGAGAAUGUUAUCACGGGAGACACACGGCGGGUGCUAACGUCCGUCGUGAAGAGGGAAACAACCCAGACCGCCAGCUAAGGUCCCAAAGUCAUGGUUAAGUGGGAAACGAUGUGGGAAGGCCCAGACAGCCAGGAUGUUGGCUUAGAAGCAGCCAUCAUUUAAAGAAAGCGUAAUAGCUCACUGGUCGAGUCGGCCUGCGCGGAAGAUGUAACGGGGCUAAACCAUGCACCGAAGCUGCGGCAGCGACACUGUGUGUUGUUGGGUAGGGGAGCGUUCUGUAAGCCUGUGAAGGUGUGUCGUGAGGCAUGCUGGAGGUAUCAGAAGUGCGAAUGCUGACAUAAGUAACGAUAAAGCGGGUGAAAAGCCCGCUCGCCGGAAGACCAAGGGUUCCUGUCCAACGUUAAUCGGGGCAGGGUGAGUCGACCCCUAAGGCGAGGCCGAAAGGCGUAGUCGAUGGGAAACGGGUUAAUAUUCCCGUACUUGGUGUUACUGCGAAGGGGGGACGGAGAAGGCUAUGUUGGCCGGGCGACGGUUGUCCCGGUUUAAGCGUGUAGGUGUGUGUUCCAGGUAAAUCCGGUUCACUUUAACACUGAGGCGUGACGACGAGGCACUACGGUGCUGAAGCAACAAAUGCCCUGCUUCCAGGAAAAGCCUCUAAGCAUCAGGUAACAUCAAAUCGUACCCCAAACCGACACAGGUGGUCAGGUAGAGAAUACCAAGGCGCUUGAGAGAACUCGGGUGAAGGAACUAGGCAAAAUGGUGCCGUAACUUCGGGAGAAGGCACGCUGACACGUAGGUGAAGUGAUUUACUCAUGGAGCUGAAGUCAGUCGAAGAUACCAGCUGGCUGCAACUGUUUAUUAAAAACACAGCACUGUGCAAACACGAAAGUGGACGUAUACGGUGUGACGCCUGCCCGGUGCCGGAAGGUUAAUUGAUGGGGUCAGCGCAAGCGAAGCUCCUGAUCGAAGCCCCGGUAAACGGCGGCCGUAACUAUAACGGUCCUAAGGUAGCGAAAUUCCUUGUCGGGUAAGUUCCGACCUGCACGAAUGGCGUAAUGAUGGCCAGGCUGUCUCCACCCGAGACUCAGUGAAAUUGAACUCGCUGUGAAGAUGCAGUGUACCCGCGGCAAGACGGAAAGACCCCGUGAACCUUUACUAUAGCUUGACACUGAACAUUGAGCCUUGAUGUGUAGGAUAGGUGGGAGGCUUUGAAGUGUGGACGCCAGUCUGCAUGGAGCCGACCUUGAAAUACCACCCUUUAAUGUUUGAUGUUCUAACGUGGACCCGUUACCCGGGUUGCGGACAGUGUCUGGUGGGUAGUUUGACUGGGGCGGUCUCCUCCUAAAGAGUAACGGAGGAGCACGAAGGUUGGCUAAUCCUGGUCGGACAUCAGGAGGUUAGUGCAAUGGCAUAAGCCAGCUUGACUGCGAGCGUGACGGCGCGAGCAGGUGCGAAAGCAGGUCAUAGUGAUCCGGUGGUUCUGAAUGGAAGGGCCAUCGCUCAACGGAUAAAAGGUACUCCGGGGAUAACAGGCUGAUACCGCCCAAGAGUUCAUAUCGACGGCGGUGUUUGGCACCUCGAUGUCGGCUCAUCACAUCCUGGGGCUGAAGUAGGUCCCAAGGGUAUGGCUGUUCGCCAUUUAAAGUGGUACGCGAGCUGGGUUUAGAACGUCGUGAGACAGUUCGGUCCCUAUCUGCCGUGGGCGCUGGAGAACUGAGGGGGGCUGCUCCUAGUACGAGAGGACCGGAGUGGACGCAUCACUGGUGUUCGGGUUGUCAUGCCAAUGGCACUGCCCGGUAGCUAAAUGCGGAAGAGAUAAGUGCUGAAAGCAUCUAAGCACGAAACUUGCCCCGA